AGGCUUAACACAUGCAAGUCGAGCGGGCGAGGUUGCUUCGGUAACUGAGCUAGCGGCGGACGGGUGAGUAAUGCUUAGGAAUCUGCCUAUUAGUGGGGGACAACAUUCCGAAAGGAAUGCUAAUACCGCAUACGCCCUACGGGGGAAAGCAGGGGAUCUUCGGACCUUGCGCUAAUAGAUGAGCCUAAGUCAGAUUAGCUAGUUGGUGGGGUAAAGGCCUACCAAGGCGACGAUCUGUAGCGGGUCUGAGAGGAUGAUCCGCCACACUGGGACUGAGACACGGCCCAGACUCCUACGGGAGGCAGCAGUGGGGAAUAUUGGACAAUGGGCGGAAGCCUGAUCCAGCCAUGCCGCGUGUGUGAAGAAGGCCUUUUGGUUGUAAAGCACUUUAAGCGAGUAGGAGGCUACUUGGAUUAAUACUCUAGGAUAGUGGACGUUACUCGCAGAAUAAGCACCGGCUAACUCUGUGCCAGCAGCCGCGGUAAUACAGAGGGUGCGAGCGUUAAUCGGAUUUACUGGGCGUAAAGCGUGCGUAGGCGGCUUCUUAAGUCGGAUGUGAAAUCCCUGAGCUUAACUUAGGAAUUGCAUUCGAUACUGGGGAGCUAGAGUAUGGGAGAGGAUGGUAGAAUUCCAGGUGUAGCGGUGAAAUGCGUAGAGAUCUGGAGGAAUACCGAUGGCGAAGGCAGCCAUCUGGCCUAAUACUGACGCUAGUACGAAGC
This 719-nucleotide ribosomal RNA is filed under the name uncultured bacterium. RNAcentral describes it as "bacterial SSU rRNA". It matches the Rfam family "Bacterial small subunit ribosomal RNA", at positions 44 to 760 of the family's 1533-position model. The record is from RNAcentral.